Cyprinus carpio (common carp) is the source of this 1104-nucleotide long non-coding RNA. The record is from Ensembl. Lineage: Eukaryota; Metazoa; Chordata; Actinopteri; Cypriniformes; Cyprinidae.
UUUAUAGCCACUUUCAAGUCACACUGUAAUGGGAUCUUUGCAUGUAAAUGUUACAUGCACAUUAAAAAGGAUUCUAGGAUUUAAUACUUGUGUUUGACCUGUAAUAUAUGUGCUGACUGGCAGGAUGAGCAGGAAGUGUGUGAUGGCAGGUAGAGGGAGGAGAAUUCAGGUGAGGAUUUGCAUAGCUCUGCUUUCUGUAGAGGACACCUUCCCCAUCAGCUCUGAACUCCAGUGGAGGUUUAUACUCAGCAGUGAAGGAACUUAGUGAGCAGGAUCACACGUCAAGUACUAGUGGCACCAGGUAAGGACAGAAGAUGCUUUAACAGUCUUUAAUAUACCAUUUUAUGGUUGUAGUUUGAUAUUUAGCCUUGCAAAUAGUUUAUUGCUUUAGGCUUAAUCAUGUUUAACAUUUAUGCAUUUGGCAAAUGCCUUUAUCCUUGCAAGUGGAAGCAAAGUAUGCAUUAUUCCGGUCUGUGCACUUAAACCCAAUGAUUUUGAUGUCACUAUAGCACCAAGUUCUGUUUAAGAAAUCUACUUUUCCAGUGAAAUUGUGUGCAACUUCCAUCAUUUGUUUAUACCUGUCCGCUUGUGGGUCAAAAUCUGCCUCGUUUAAGAUUUGAAACUCCUCUAAACUGGCAGUGCUGCUACCACUGGGAAUGGGUCGUCAUGUCAAACCAUGGGCCAAUCAGAUGUAUCCCUGGGCUCUGCAUGCUGGAGCCUAAAUUAGGUCAUGAUCUUAAUAAGUAUUGUCGCUCUGUGAUUCUCUGACUGCGUGGAAGAGAGCAGAAGAGGACCUUACAGAGAACAGACAGGGUUUUUGACUAGCCAUCAUAGUAGAACACAAAGCAGUGAGGAGGUGCGGACCUCACGCUGGCAGCUGAACAGUGGGGAACAGCGGUUUACUGUUACGCCAGCAGGUAUGCAACUUUUGAGGACAGAGGGAGGAUGUGUAUGGAUGUGUGUGUGUGUUCAUCUGCAUGUGUGUGAAAAUAUCAGUGUUAAGGUCACAAUAGAUACAUUAGAUGGCUUUUCUUUCAUGUAAAUUAUGCUAAAUAGUAUUAUGAUGAUAUAAUGAGACAAAUAAAAUUUGUUUAAAUCAGAACA